This 6031-nucleotide long non-coding RNA is filed under the name Solanum tuberosum (potato). RNAcentral describes it as "long non-coding RNA (STUB_LNC007295)". Lineage: Eukaryota; Viridiplantae; Streptophyta; Magnoliopsida; Solanales; Solanaceae. The record is from RNAcentral.
UUGGAGGAUGGUAAGUUGGCUUAAUCUCAUAUUAUGGAUAAAAAUUGUUCUUGCUUGGUUUGAUCCACUUAUGGUGGAGGUGUUUAAUUAUGGAAUGUAUUGUGACCAUGGCCUUGAAGGCAUAGUAUGAGAAACUUAAGUGUUACAUGACAUUUUUAUGAAUGGACAUUCAAUGAAGAUAAUGUGAUCAUGUUAUGAAAGUAAAUGUGUUAUUAUUGAAAGGAUUUUUCUCAAUUUGACACUCAUGAAUGUUGAUGAUAGAAUAUGAAGGAUUCUCCAAUUUAUUGCAUAUCUCGAAUUGGUAGAGCUUGUGCAUCAUUUUCUUGUGAUCGUCUACCUUAUCCCAUAAACUAUGUGCCCGCAUAGGUAGCUAGUGGAUCCAUUAAGCUAUAUAUACCGGUCUUCCUUAGGCAAGUAGACCACCUCUUUUCGGUGUGGGGACUCAUGACACCGGAUUCCAUGACAAGCUCUCAUGGUCUAUGUCGGUUAAAUGCUUACUUCCCAUCAUGUGAGAUUUCAUUAUGGUUUCUUGACAGGUUCUACAAAGUGUAGGUAGUAGUAUGGGAUGCUACCUAUACAUUGCACGAGUAGGCUUGGAGAGGGUCAUAGUGAGUUUCUCUAAAUCCUAAUGACUGUGACAUGAAUGUACCCUAAAUGAGGUUAUUAAAGAAUGUUGGCUCUUAAAUGCUUAAUAUGUUAUGCAUGUUAUACUUGGGUUAUAUUACGAGUUAUUUUCCCUUGUCAUGUCUUAAUUAAUGAUAUACCUCUUAUGUAUUGAAUAUUGUGCAAAGGUGAAAGAAAGGAAUGAUAAGUUACUUUAAGUGACCUAAAUGUGGUGCCUUAGUAUGGAUGGUGGUAUGGGACGCCAUCCAUACAUUGCACGAGGUAUAGCAUAAGGGUUUCUUGAGGUGAAGGUCCAAGGUAAAGGUUUUCAUGUUGAUAUUGUUUAAAGGUGAUAUUAUGACUUACUUGAUGUUUAUGCUUGUGUUGUAUGUCUUUUAUGCAACUAUUCAUGGUACUUCAAAAAGUGGCAUAAUGCAUGGUUUCUAACCAAAAUGUCCCUUUUAAAGCAUGUUUUGCAUGGUCAUCAUACUUAGUACAUUUUUGUGUACUAACCCAUAUUCUUCAUGUUUUUACUAUAGGUGUAGGUUCCGGCAAGUAAUCCCUCCUAGCUAGUUUGAAGUGUUGGAUUGCUUUCCUCCAAGACUUGGUAUGUCCUCAUGGAUUCGAGGAUAAGACUUUUAAGUUCUUUGUUCAUGUAAUAGACAUUUUUAGUUUUGUUUCGAUUGUAAAGGGUUGUGUCCCUACUUAUGUUUUGUGAUUGUGUCUAAGAUGGCCAUCUGAGACUAAGACUUCCGCUGUAUGUUUUUAAAGUUGUUUUAUUGAAGUUUGAAUGUGUGGAUGUAAAUAAGUUUUUCAUUCCAUAAUAUUAUCAUUAUUGAAUGCAAUGAAUGACUAUAUGGUUUGUAUAAGACCCCUUCGGGGUCGAGUACGCCUUGUUACGACUUGGGGUGCUCCCGGGUCGUGAAAAACAUGGUAUCAGAGCAUAAGAUUUUGGAAAUGGUUUUUAGGAUCAAUGUCUCACAUGCCACGUCUAGUAGAGUCUUGUUCAUCAGUGUGGGUCGCGACACAUCUAUGAGCGAGAUGCUAUAGGAUGUUAGAAGUUACACUUAUUUCAUAUUCUUAAAGUCGUGCCUUAGAGUGUGGUUCUAUAAGUGUUCUUAUCCUAAUCUUUCUCUUGUGUUUAUAAGAUAUGAAUACAAGAGGGAGACCCGCAAAGAGAGUAGGAGAAGAGGAUAUGAAUGAGGAAGUUCCUCCCCAAGGUCCUCAAGACGUCCAAAUUCCGAUAGGAGUUCCGGAUAUGACCAAUGAAGAGAUUAGGAAGGCUUUCUUAAUCUUGGCCCGAGCCAUGGCGGCUCAAGGGACUAAUGAUAUGGGGCCUAGGGUGAAUGCUAAUGAGGGUACUAUGGCUUCUAAGUUGAGAGACUUUGUGAGGAUGAAUCCUCCGGUAUUUCUAGGUUCUAAGGUGGGAGAGGAUCCCCAAGAAUUUUUGGAUGAAGUGUAUAAGGUAGUGAGUGCUAUGGGGGUGACUUCAAAAGAAAAGGCGGAGCUUGCCUCCUAUCAAUUGAAAGAUGUUGCCCAAAUUUGGUUCACUCAAUGGAAGGCUAAUAGGCCGGUGGGAGCAGAUCCUAUAGAAUGGGAGGAGUUUAAGGAAGCUUUCCUUGGUAGGUAUUUUCCCCGUGAGAAAAGGCAGUGUAAGGUUAAGGAGUUUAUCAACCUUAGGCAAGGAAAUGCGAGUGUGCAAGAGUACUCCUUGAGGUUUACCCAAUUGUCUAAGUAUGCCCCAUCUUUGGUGUCAAACCCUAGGGAUGAGAUGAGUAGGUUUGUGACCGGCGUAUCCGACCUAGUCAAGGAAGAGUGCCAUACGGCAAUGCUCCAUAAUGACAUGAACAUUUCUAGGCUCAUAGUGUAUGCUCAAUCCAUUGAGGAGUCCAAACUUAAGAGGAUGAAUAGGAAUGUGAAGAGGGGUAGAUCCGAUGAGCAAAGUCAACCUAGGUUCAAGAAGAGGGCUCAAGAUCAAGAUUUUUCAAGUGCUCCUAAGGUUAACCAAGAUAAAGGUGGUGGAUCUCAAUUUUCUAAACCUACUUGCACCACUUGUGGCAAGAGGCACUAUGGGAAGUGCCUAGCCGGUACUAAUGGAUGCUAUGGUUGUGGGAAGAAUGAUCACAAGGUGAAAGAUUGUCCUACUUUUACGGCUAGAGGAAGGGAGGCAAAGCAAGCUUCUAAAGAUGGAACGGUUCCUAUUCCUCCAAAUUAUGGUGGUUUCUAUGUUCUCCAAGCUAGCAAGGACAAAGAAGCUAAUCUGAAUGAAGGCGCCGGUAAGUUUUAGUUCCUUAUGGUCAUGAAUGUCUUGAUGAGGUUUCUAUGGUGUUGUUUUUCAUGUUUGCCUUAAUUGGGUUUUCUUCUAAGUGGGGGAUGGUAGGUUGAAUAGCAAGGUUGUUGAGAGUGUUGAUAUCCUUAUCUCAUUCCUUCUAUUCUUAAUCAAGCUUGAGACCAAGAGUUCCUAGUAGCUUGUUUUAUGUUUUGGAGUCUUGGGUGAAAAUGAGUUUCCAUGUCUCCUUAUGUUAUGCAUGUUCUAAUUGAAUUCUUGUUAAAUGAUAAAAUGAGUUUUCAUAAAUGUGUUCCUCAUGUUGAUGUGCAUUUAGUUGAGUUGUCUAUAUGCUUCAUGAGGAUAAAUGUUGAACAUGCUUAAAUGUUGCAUAAUUGUACUUUUAUGAGAAAAUUGCAUAAUGUGCCUAAUAAUUUUGGGAUGAGUGUGAUGUAAAUUGGAGAAGGAAGUUCAUCCAAUGAAAUGAGAAAUGGUAAAGUUUGAUGCAUAAGGAAUUGGUAGAUGUAUUCCUAAUUUCUUGAAUUGCAUGAAGUUGUUUGAGCCUCAUUGAUGUGGAGUUGAUGUUUCCUCCGAUAUUUAUGUACUUGUAUUGAUGUUGUAUGCAUGUUGAUGGGCUGUAUACUUGAGUUGUUACCCCUUUUUGUUGACAUGUUAUGAUUGUUGGGAUGCUAGUCUUGAGUUGUUUUUCCCUUAAUGUGUUUAAAGUGUCAUUCGAGGACGAAUGUUCCUAAGUGGGGAAUAAUGUAACGACUCGGAAAAUGAUAGAAUGAACUUGAGCAUUGACGUUUGGGUUAGUGGGAGCUUAGGUUGAUGUUUAUGCUGUUUUAGAACUUAAAUGGAGCUAGGUAUCAUCCUAGGGUGCAAGCAACGGCCUAGGCUAGCAAGUUAGCCUAGUGGACUGCCCAGUUGACCAGCCUUUGAGUAAUCCCACUAGAACGGACGGGCAAGGGGCAGAUUUUUAAAGUUACGACUUGUAGGUUCAACUUCAAAUGAUGAUAUCUUUUAGCUCAAAACGAAUUAGGUGGACCAUUACCUAUCCAAUUAAAGGUAUUUGAGUCCUCUUUACAACGCCACCGAGUUUUCCCUUUUCCGAUGUCGGAGUAAAAAGUAAUGCCCAAAAUAGUGAAGCACUGUCAAAAAGGACGAGCUUAGACGGGUUUAGUGAAAACUUUUAAGUUUAACUUUGUGGGUCCUUAAUUGUCUUCCUAAGUAGAGUCCCUAUUAUUCUCUACCUUUGCUAGCAAUUAUAAAACCCUUUUAGACGCAAAAUUCUUCCAUUUAAGUCACUUCAAUUAGAAUUAGAAAGAAACCCACCUCCUCUCAAAUAUUUCUCUCUACAAUCCUCCAUCUAAGAAGUUCAAGCACUUGGAGCUAGGGCUUGGUUUGAAGGUGGUUUCUUCAUCAAUUUUCUUGGGGAAUCUUAACAAAUGUAUGGUGACCCUUGAGCCUUGAUUAUCUUUCCUUCAAGGAGUCCAUUAAAAAGGGUUUCAAAAGUUUUCAAAGAACAAAACUUCUAUUUUUCUAAUCUAGGUAUGGGUUCAUUGGUAAAAUGUUUUCAAAGUCAUUAUAUUGGUGAAUUGAAGUUCUAUUUAUGAUUUUAAGAUGAUUUUAUAUGAAACUUCUUCAAGAACCCAUGUUUUCAUUAAAAGCCUAGAAUUUGCUUAUGAAGUGGGUUUAAUGCCUAUGAUUUAAUGUGGAUAAAAUUGUGUUUAGAUCAGAUUGUAUUAUUGAUUUAUAUGGUUUUGUAUAUCUAUUUAUGAUGACUUAUUGGUAUAUGGAUGAAUUGAGGAUUGUGGCCUUAUGGGCAAGUUAUGGGUGAAUCACAUUGUGGUGAUAGAAUUGUUGGGAAUUGAGUAAUGGUUAUUAUGGCUUUGGAGGAUGGUAAGUUGACUUAAUCUCAUAUUAUUAGUAGGAUUGUUCUUGAUGAUGAUGCACUUGAAAGGUGGAGGUGUUUAAUUAUUUUGUACAUUGUGACCAUGGCCUUGAAGGCAUAGUAUGAGAAAUUUAAGUGUUACAUGACAUUUUAUGAAUGGACAUUCAAUGGAGCUAAUGUGAUCAUGUUAUGAACGUAAAUGUGUUAUUAUUGAGAGGAUUUUUCUCAAUUUGACACUCAUGAAUGUUGAUGAUAGAAUAUGAAGGAUUCUCCAAUGUAUUGCAUAUCUCGAAUUGGUAGAGCUUGUGCAUCCUUUUCUUGUCUAAAUGAUUAUAUUGUUGGUUGUUGAAUCCUCGAAUCGGUAGGCUAGUAGCACCCCUCCACUCAUGAUAAAAAUGAACCUUGGAAUUGGUAGGCUAAUGACACCCUUCCAUUAAUGAUAGUAAUGAACCUUGGGAUCGGUAGGCCUAUGGCACCUUUCCAUGAAGGUUAAUGAUGAGACUUGAACCGGUAGGCCCAUGGCACCCUUUCAAGAGGAGUUAAUGAGCUUUCCUAAAUGAACCUUGAAACGGUAGGCUUAAAGCACCCUUUCACGUGUUAAUGAAUGUAAUUUGGAAUCGGUAGGCCUAUGGCACCUUUCCAUGAAGGUUAAUGAUGAGACUUGAACCGGUAGGCCCAUGGCACCCUUUCAAGAGGAGUUAAUGAGCUUUCCUAAAUGAACCUUGAAACGGUAGGCUUAAAGCACCCUUUCACGUGUUAAUAAAUGUAAUUUGGAGUUGGUAGGCCAAUGGCACCUCUCAUAUGUGAUAAUGUCAAGGUAACGAACUAUUCUAUGGGAAUGUAGGCUAAGCACCGAGCGGAUUUGGUUAGAUGGAAACUCCCCCGACAGUUAGGCAUGAGUUUCAAUGAUCGUCUACCUUAUCCCAUAAACUAUGUGCCCGCAUAGGUAGCUAGUGGAUCCAUUAAGCUAUAUAUACCGGUCUUCCUUAGGCAAGUAGACCACCUCUUUACGGUGUGGGGACUUAUGACACCGGAUUCCAUGACAAGCUCUCAUGGUCUAUGUCGGUUAAAUGCUUACUUCCCAUCAUGUGAGAUUUCAUUAUGGUUUCUUUAGACCCAUUACAAGCCUUCAAAAGACCUUUUUGAUCUUGAGUUAGCUGAAACAAUUGUUGAUUGGAAAAUACAGGCAAACCUAUGGGUGAAAACAUACAUUUUGUACUUCUUUGUGAGAGUGAGAGUUACAUUUCAUUCCGGAGCUUUAAAUGAUU